RNAcentral lists this transfer RNA (74 nucleotides) under Planctomycetota bacterium. RNAcentral's name for it is "Planctomycetes bacterium tRNA-Thr". It matches the Rfam family "tRNA". From Rfam's summary of the family: Transfer RNA (tRNA) molecules are approximately 80 nucleotides in length. Their secondary structure includes four short double-helical elements and three loops (D, anti-codon, and T loops). Lineage: Bacteria; Pseudomonadati; Planctomycetota. The record is from RNAcentral.
GCCGACGUGGCUCGAUUGAGAAAGGCGCCCGUCCCGUAAACGGGUUCAUGCUGGUGCAAAUCCAGUCGUCGGCU